AUUUGUCUCAUAUUUUAGAUUCUACAUAUAAAAUAUCACAUGUUAUCUGUCUUUCUCUUUCUGACUUGCCUCAUUUCCAUCCCUGUUGUGGCAAAUGGCAUUAUUUCAUUCUUUUUUAUACCACAUCUUUUUUAUGCAUUCUUCUUUUGAUGGACAUUUAUUUAGGUUGUUUCCAUGUCUUGACUAUUGUAAUUAGUGCUACUGUGAACAUAGGGGUGCAUGUAUGCUUUCGAAUUAGAGUUUUCUCCAGAUAUAUGUGCAGGAGUGGGAUUUCUGGAUCAUAUGGCAACUCUAUUUUUAGUUUUUAUUUAAGUUUUUAACCUCCAUACUGUUCUCAUAGUGGUUGCACCAAUUUACAUUCUCGCCAACAGUGUAGGAGAGUUCCCUUUUCUUUAUAUUCUCUCCAGCAUUUCUUAUAUGUAGAUUUUUAAUGAUGGCCAUUCUGUCUGAUAUGAGAUGAUACUUCACUGUUGUUUUGAUUUAUAUUCCUCUAAUAAGUAGAAAUGUUGAACAUCUUUUCAUGUGCUUAUUGGCCAUCUGUAUAAGAUGGCUUUCAUCAAGACUAGCAAAGAUUGCAUAGAUGGCACAGCCAGGAUAAAGAUAUUUUCAUAAGUCUCACUUGUAAUUUGAUUAAUAUUUAUGAAGUGGAUAUUAAAAUUUUAUAUUAAGCAUAUUCAUCUAUAUACAAAGACCAUACUUCAUGUGCAUGUGUGUGCGCGUGCGCGCACACACACACACGUACUCACACACACAUCCCUAUACAUAUAUCAAGACUAUUUAGUAGAUGUUUACUUUAGUGCACAGGUAAGUAUGAUUUGUAAUCAUCAUAUUGACACAUGAUCAAGUAUUACAGUUUCUGCUUACAUUAUAAUACCCAUGAAAUUUCAUUCACAUUGAGAUUUAACACCUUGAAAUAAUUUGAGAAACAAAUGGAGCUAAAAGUAAAUGUUAGAGUUUUAGUUGUUUGUAUCAGUACUAAAUCAUGGGGUUAAAAUGUCUAAAAUGUUUUUCAGACAUUAAGAACUAAUAAUUUUCCAGUAAGCAACUAUGAUGCAGGUAUGGUACUAGUGAAUGCUGAGUUGGAAGAAAACAAAACUGAAUAGAAAGAGAUGUAGUUUGCAGUGCUAUUCUGAGAAAGUUUUAGUCAUUCUAUGAGAACCCCAGAGCAAGGAAACCCAUUAAAGGAUUUCUGUUUCGGUGAGAAUAUCCCAGAUAUAGUAUUUAAUUCUCAUAGUCAUUAUUUAGAAAGAAUCUGGGGAGGACAUAACUCAGUUUGAGUGCUGUGAUGGUUCCCAAAGCUGUUAUAUAUACCAAAGGAUCUCUAGUAGCGAUACACCUCAGGGCAGGUUUUUAUUGAUAGGAGACCUGAGGAGAACACCUCCAUUUUUGCCAUUAAAAAUAAUAAGCAAAUACUAGAAAAUUACGACUGACUAGACUAAGAAAAGUAAAAAAUUAUGUAUGUAAAGUUGAAUUGUUGAUGUAAGCCAGAAAAAAUAAGGUUAACCCUACUAUAUUAACGCUACUUUAUUAAAGUGAUUCAUGGGCCAAAGCCUUACUCAGAAUUUAAAAUGUGUUCAUUGAGUUAUGCGUAAGUUUAUCUGUCAGACAGCCAUGAGAUAAAACUUUCAAUCGUUUCAUAGGCUUUAAAAUGCAACUUUAAAUGUUUCUAGGAAUUUAUAAUCUGUUCAAAACUAAAUAUUAUGAAUAACUUGGGAAUAACUAUUUUGUGUUAUCAGAUAUAUGGGAGGAUCAUAUUUUUUAAAUGGUAAUGCAGAAGAAAAUGUUAAGAAAUAGUUCAUUAUCACUCAUGAAUAAACUUUAAAUCUUGGAUACAAUAAAUGAUAUAAAAUUUCUAAGAAAGGACAGAUGUUUACUCUGUUUAUGAUUUAGAAAUCAUACAUUUCUAAUGGUGCCAAAAAUUUAAAAUAUAAUAUUAACGAAGUGAAUUGUUUUACAAAUCAGAAUAAAAUUUAUGAAAAGUUCUUUUAACCUCUGGAUCCUAUGCAAAGUCUUGGGAAAAAAAGAUGGAAAACACUACUAAGGCUGAACACAGUAACUCUCUUUCUUGGAAAUUAUUCAAAGCAGAUAUUCAGUGCAAAUACUGAUGUAUAUUUAUGAAUAAAAUAGGAUAUUUUUAUUAAAGAAGAAUAAAAAUUAUAAAAAUAAAUUAUGGUAAAGCUUUUCCCUAGGGUAUUUUGUAUUUUAUUUUAACAAUUUAGCAUUUCAGUAUCAAUAAACUGUCUUUAAAAAUGUAGGGGAGUUUCUUGAAAUUUGUAAUAAUUGCUUUCAGAUUUGUCUCAUAAUUUGUUUCAGGCACUGGAUAGAUUUGUUGUUUUGAUAAUGUACUCUUUGGUAAAGUCAGGAGAUACAACAAUGUGUGGCCGCCUACUUUAAAUGCUCUCAGAACAUGCAGAUAUUUAAAACUGCCUCAUUUUACAGCUUGUGGGACAAAUCAGCUCUCACUAGCCAUCCCUGUGUUCUUAUGGGGCCUCUCCAACAGCAUAGGCAGAGGAAUAUCUACUUUGGGUGGCCCCUGGGGCUCUUACCAUACCCCCUGGACAUUGAAGGUUGUAUUUCAUGGCUCUCUUGCUGAAUUCUCCUUGCCCACCCCUCACCACCACCAUGACCCUUUUGUACAGGGUAUAUGAUGGCUAAACCCACAUGGAUUCCUCUCUUGUGUCCACAAGAAGCAUUCACCCACCCCUUGCCCUAACUGGACCAUUUCCAAAAGAGCAGCAGCCUUCGCUCUCUGGCUUUAUUUCAGAAGCAAGUCAUCAGCCCUUCCUUUGUCCUUUAGAAGUACCCUGCUGUCUGUCUGCUUUGGUUUUCACUGUUAUGAGUCAGCCUGCUAACUGUGGCUAGUCCAUGAACAAGGAAUACUUUCAAGCUCUUUGAGGGAAUCCCUGCUCCACUAAUAAUUUUCACUUGUAUCAUUUACGCUAUUGAAAAAUUAAUUAAACUGAGAAGGAAAUAUAUUCUAGUAUUGUUUCAUUUUUCAGUAAGUGGAAUAAACAUAAUAUUUGGGGAUGGUAGAAGAGGAACAUUUAAUUUACCUGGAGAUAGAUCAUAGAUUUUAAUAACCUGAAGAAUUUUCAGUAAAAAAAAUUGUGUCAUCUGUAAAUUAUAUAUAGAGAGAGGUUAUUGGUAUAUUUACUAAUUACCAGAAUGCUCCCAUGUUUUGACUUUCAUACCUUUUGGUACUACUGUACGUAUAAACUAAAUGAAUUUUAAAGCAUGUCACGGUUGACUUCUAAACUUUAAGCCACAAUGACUAUAAUCCUACUUUCUGAUUUUAUGAUGUAUUCAAUUAACUCAAAAACAAUGUAGCCACAGAGAUUAUGAUAUGUGCACAGUAAUUUAAUUUACUGCUUAAGACUCAUUGCCCUAAUCAAGAAUUCAUAGUCCAUAUUAAUUUUUAGCAGAAAGACCACUUUCCACAUACAGCUGCUAUGAGCCUCAGUUAUUGUUAUUUUAAUCCUCACCAGUAACUUUACUACAAUUAAAUUCUCAUAGCACAGGGAAAUGUAUCUAUAGAACAGGGAACUAUAUCUAUAGCAAAGGGAAUUCUAUCUAGUCACUUGUGAUGGAACAUGAAGGAGGAUAAUGUGAGAAAAAGAAUAUAUAUGUAUGACUGGGUCACUUGGCUGUAUAGUAGAAAUUGACAGAACACUGAAAACCAACUUAAUAGAAAAAAUAAAAAUCAUAAAAAAUAAUAAAUUCUCAUCGAUGAUAUUAAUGACUUGUUACCCAGUGAAAAUUAGAAAUUGGCUUUCUGAGGAAAUUAGUAAAUGCAAUAUAUGCUAACUGGUUUACAUAUUUUGUAGACAUACUCACCUUCACCCAGCAUUAAUUGGCCUAAAAAUCUGUCAGCCUUGUAUGUGUCUAUAUACACAGGCAUCAAUCCCUACGCUUGGUUGUUAAGGCCCUUAGUACAAAGAGUUUUGGUUUCCAAAACCAGCCUGUGAAAUAUAGUCCAUUUGCCUUAGGUAAUCUUUCAUGAAAAGUUUUAAAAACACCCAAAGGUAAGAGUCCCUAAGCCCACAGAAUAGUUUGCUUGAGUUUGAUUUCUACUGACUGGUAAAUGUCUGUGUAAUGGAAUUAGGUCAGACAGGCCAUUUGCCUAACAACUUUCAACUUGCUGUCAACUCUGUCUGACUAUUGAAGAUUUACAUGCUGUAGUCUAGUUCAAAACAGCAGUGGAAGGGAAACAGUGAAGGAAUUGUGGAAAGGGGAGUGUCUAGCAAGGCUCACACAGAAGAUGGUUUUUCAGCCAAGUAUUAAAAAUGAUUAAGAUUUUGCCAGUUGACUAGAACAUAUAAGGAAAAUAUUUAGCACAUAGAAUUUUUCUAUGUAGAUUAAUUUUUCUAUGUAAUUUUUCUGUGUAUGUUGAGGGGAUGUGAUUUAUUCAGGAAACUAAACUAUGGCUGAAAUUUAAGGAUUUUAAGAUAAAAGUACAAGUGGGGGCUGGGGGCUGCAUUAUAAAGAGGUCUAUGUAGUAUACCUCAGUGUUUUUCAGACUUUUUGACUGCAACUAGUGCAGUCAGGAGGGGUAGGCCAGCAGCUGGUGGGCAGCACAUGAGCUGAAUCAUGGAAUCUGCGCUUGCCCUUGCCCAGCUGUGUGCUGCAUGACACCUGCACAUGCCAAAAGGAGAGCAAUAUUAAAU
Molecule: long non-coding RNA, 4664 nt
Filed under: Sus scrofa (pig)
Lineage: Eukaryota; Metazoa; Chordata; Mammalia; Artiodactyla; Suidae
Description: lncRNA (ENSSSCG00000058227.1)
Source: RNAcentral